GGUUAAGCGACUAAGCGUACACGGUGGAUGCCCUGGCAGUCAGAGGCGAUGAAGGACGUGCUAAUCUGCGAAAAGCGCCGGCGAGGUGAUAUGAACCUUUGACCCGGCGAUGUCCGAAUGGGGAAACCCAGUGCAAUCCGUUGCACUAUCGUUAACUGAAUACAUAGGUUAACGAGGCGAACCGGGGGAACUGAAACAUCUAAGUACCCCGAGGAAAAGAAAUCAACCGAGAUUCCCCCAGUAGCGGCGAGCGAACGGGGAGCAGCCCGGAGUCUGAAUCAGCUUGUGUGUUAGUGGAACGGUCUGGAAAGUCCGACGGUACAGGGUGAUAGUCCCGUACACGAAAGCACACUUGCUGUGAACUCGAAGAGUAGGGCGGGACACGUGGUAUCCUGUCUGAAUAUGGGGGGACCAUCCUCCAAGGCUAAAUACUCCUGACUGACCGAUAGUGAACCAGUACCGUGAGGGAAAGGCGAAAAGAACCCCGGCGAGGGGAGUGAAAAAGAACCUGAAACCGUGUACGUACAAGCAGUGGGAGCCUCUUUAUGGGGUGACUGCGUACCUUUUGUAUAAUGGGUCAGCGACUUAUAUUCUGUAGCAAGGUUAACCGUAUAGGGGAGCCGAAGGGAAACCGAGUCUUAACUGGGCGUUAAGUUGCAGGGUAUAGACCCGAAACCCGGUGAUCUAGCCAUGGGCAGGUUGAAGGUUGGGUAACACUAACUGGAGGACCGAACCGACUAAUGUUGAAAAAUUAGCGGAUGACCUGUGGCUGGGGGUGAAAGGCCAAUCAAACCGGGAGAUAGCUGGUUCUCCCCGAAAGCUAUUUAGGUAGCGCCUCGUGAACUCAUCUUCGGGGGUAGAGCACUGUUUCGGCUAGGGGGCCAUCCCGGCUUACCAACCCGAUGCAAACUACGAAUACCGAAGAAUGUUAUCACGGGAGACACACGGCGGGUGCUAACGUCCGUCGUGAAGAGGGAAACAACCCAGACCGCCAGCUAAGGUCCCAAAGUCAUGGUUAAGUGGGAAACGAUGUGGGAAGGCACAGACAGCCAGGAUGUUGGCUUAGAAGCAGCCAUCAUUUAAAGAAAGCGUAAUAGCUCACUGGUCGAGUCGGCCUGCGCGGAAGAUGUAACGGGGCUAAACCAUGCACCGAAGCUGCGGCAGCGACGCUUAUGCGUUGUUGGGUAGGGGAGCGUUCUGUAAGCCGUUGAAGGUGUCCUGUGAGGGGUGCUGGAGGUAUCAGAAGUGCGAAUGCUGACAUAAGUAACGAUAAAGCGGGUGAAAAGCCCGCUCGCCGGAAGACCAAGGGUUCCUGUCCAACGUUAAUCGGGGCAGGGUGAGUCGACCCCUAAGGCGAGGCCGAAAGGCGUAGUCGAUGGGAAACAGGUUAAUAUUCCUGUACUUGGUGUUACUGCGAAGGGGGGACGGAGAAGGCUAUGUCAGCCGGGCGACGGUUGUCCCGGUUUAAGCAUGUAGGCGGAGGUUCCAGGUAAAUCCGGUACCUUAUUAACGCUGAGGUGUGAUGACGAGGCACUACGGUGCUGAAGUGAUAAAUGCCCUGCUUCCAGGAAAAGCCUCUAAGCAUCAGGUAACACGAAAUCGUACCCCAAACCGACACAGGUGGUCAGGUAGAGAAUACCAAGGCGCUUGAGAGAACUCGGGUGAAGGAACUAGGCAAAAUGGUGCCGUAACUUCGGGAGAAGGCACGCUGAUAUGUAGGUGAAGUCCCUGCGGACGGAGCUGAAAUCAGUCGAAGAUACCAGCUGGCUGCAACUGUUUAUUAAAAACACAGCACUGUGCAAACACGAAAGUGGACGUAUACGGUGUGACGCCUGCCCGGUGCCGGAAGGUUAAUUGAUGGGGUUAGCGGCAACGCGAAGCUCUUGAUCGAAGCCCCGGUAAACGGCGGCCGUAACUAUAACGGUCCUAAGGUAGCGAAAUUCCUUGUCGGGUAAGUUCCGACCUGCACGAAUGGCGUAAUGAUGGCCAGGCUGUCUCCACCCGAGACUCAGUGAAAUUGAACUCGCUGUGAAGAUGCAGUGUACCCGCGGCAAGACGGAAAGACCCCGUGAACCUUUACUAUAGCUUGACACUGAACACUGGUCCUUGAUGUGUAGGAUAGGUGGGAGGCUUUGAAGCGUGGACGCCAGUCUGCGUGGAGCCAACCUUGAAAUACCACCCUUUAAUGGCUGGUGUUCUAACGUAGACCCGUAAUCCGGGUUGCGGACAGUGUCUGGUGGGUAGUUUGACUGGGGCGGUCUCCUCCCAAAGAGUAACGGAGGAGCACGAAGGUUGGCUAAUCCUGGUCGGACAUCAGGAGGUUAGUGCAAUGGCAUAAGCCAGCUUGACUGCGAGCGUGACGGCGCGAGCAGGUGCGAAAGCAGGUCAUAGUGAUCCGGUGGUUCUGAAUGGAAGGGCCAUCGCUCAACGGAUAAAAGGUACUCCGGGGAUAACAGGCUGAUACCGCCCAAGAGUUCAUAUCGACGGCGGUGUUUGGCACCUCGAUGUCGGCUCAUCACAUCCUGGGGCUGAAGUAGGUCCCAAGGGUAUGGCUGUUCGCCAUUUAAAGUGGUACGCGAGCUGGGUUUAGAACGUCGUGAGACAGUUCGGUCCCUAUCUGCCGUGGGCGCUGGAGAAUUGAGGGGGGCUGCUCCUAGUACGAGAGGACCGGAGUGGACGCAUCACUGGUGUUCGGGUUGUCAUGCCAAUGGCACUGCCCGGUAGCUAAAUGCGGAAGAGAUAAGUGCUGAAAGCAUCUAAGCACGAAACUUGCCCCGAGAUGAGUUCUCCCUGAGACUUUAAGUCUCCUGAAGGAACGUUGAAGACGACGACGUUGAUAGGUCGGGUGUGUAAGCGCAGCGAUGCGUUGAGCUAACCGAUACUAAUGAACCGUGAGGCUUAACCUU
This 2906-nucleotide ribosomal RNA is filed under the name Enterobacter cloacae. RNAcentral describes it as "23S ribosomal RNA". It matches the Rfam family "Bacterial large subunit ribosomal RNA". Lineage: Bacteria; Pseudomonadati; Pseudomonadota; Gammaproteobacteria; Enterobacterales; Enterobacteriaceae. The record is from RNAcentral. RNAcentral also lists the same sequence under 3 other names.